Molecule: ribosomal RNA, 282 nt
Filed under: uncultured Pseudomonadales bacterium
Lineage: Bacteria; Pseudomonadati; Pseudomonadota; Gammaproteobacteria; Pseudomonadales
Description: partial 16S ribosomal RNA
Rfam family: Bacterial small subunit ribosomal RNA
Source: RNAcentral
CUUGUGCCAGCAGCCGCGGUAAUACAGAGGGUGCAAGCGUUAAUCGGAAUUACUGGGCGUAAAGCGUGCGUAGGUGGUUCGUUAAGUUGGAUGUGAAAUCCCCGGGCUCAACCUGGGAACUGUAUUCAAAACUGACGAGCUAGAGUAUGGUAGAGGGUGGUGGAAUUUCCUGUGUAGCGGUGAAAUGCGUAGAUAUAGGAAGGAACACCAGUGGCGAAGGCGACCACCUGGACUGAUACUGACACUGAGGUGCGAAAGCGUGGGGAGCAAACAGGAUUAGAU